Molecule: long non-coding RNA, 2480 nt
Organism: Mercenaria mercenaria
Lineage: Eukaryota; Metazoa; Mollusca; Bivalvia; Venerida; Veneridae
Exons: 5
Source: RefSeq, a predicted model, not a curated record
UUUUUUUUUUUUAUUUUCUGUACAUGAAUCUUCAAAUUUAGUGCAAGAAGACUUACAGACUAGACCUUCUUACUGUUAUCGGAUAGAUCCAUAACUACCGCUCAGCAACCAGACAUGGAAAUGACAUUUGAAUCUUUUGCGCUUCACUGAGCUAUGACAAGGAUAAUGACAGGAGCAGAAUUUGUUUAUGACGCAUUCUUUCUCGAUGUCCAGGUACAAUAAACAACAACAAAAAGAAGAAAAAACAAUGGAAAAUAUUUUGAAGAGGUGCUAAUUAACCGAAACACUGAUAGAGUGGUCUUUGAAGUGGUCGAUGAUGUAAUGAAACAUAGCGGUUCAAAACACGUUUUCCAUUACAUUAAAUGUAGCGACUUCAGGUUCCCCGUAAUAUUCUAAACAACCACAAACGGUAAAUGCGUAUUUGAUAUACAGUUAAAGGGAAGUAAAUGAAAUAAGAUGUUACAUACUCUCUCUGUACAUCUGUUUACACUGUCCUAUAACUUUGGAACAUGAAGCUGAUUAAAAGUGAGGCAGGGUGCACUAGAGACUGAUGCAAAUCUAUAUCAGCCAUGCUAAACUAACUGUAGUGUGACAACAUUGAUACAGGUGCAAAAAGCUGAACAGUUAAAACAAAAUGUAAUUUAGAUGUAAUACAAUGCCAUUUUUGUGGUAAUGGUAAUAAACGGUUAAAGGGAAAUGCACCUUGUCAGUGUACAUACCAACUUUUCUAUGGACGAAUGUUGUACCAGGACGAGAUUUGAAUGCUGAUCUGAUCUUCCAUUUUCACCAGGAACUGCCCAAACUGUUACGUGGCUGUCACAAGUGCAGCCGGGAAGAAGCUGCCAGGCUUGCUGGACUUAUUUAUCGUGCUGAAUUUGGUGACCGGAAAGAAGACGUUUCGUAAUGUUUUUUUUUCUUUCAAUUCAUCAAAAUGAACAACAAUGUGCCCUAAAACUUACUUCUUGCAAAAGCAUCACUUGAAGGAUAUUUCUAUAUAUUUAUUACUAUUUACAGACUAUUAAAUUUGUGUGCUACAAACCAUUUCUCUGUUAACAUUUGUUUUAUUUUACAGUAGUUUAUUUGGAAAACUUAUCCCUGUUGACCUGAUAAAAUCUGAGUCGCCUGAUGAUUGGAAUUGUGUAUGAAUUAUAAAACUCUUUCACUGCUUGAACGUAUGGACUGACAUAUCUGGUUCUAGGGUUAUUGUGUCGGCGGUAAAGAUACUAUGUUGAGUUACCACAAAAACAGUUGUCCGAGAGCUAAAUAUUUCCAACAGCACCUUCUACAAGUGAUAGAUUUUUUAUCUUGCAUAUCGUAUUCUUCAAAUAAUAGAGAGAAAAAAACACAGAAUAAAACGUUUUGUUUUAAAGCACUGUUUUAUUAUAGUAGCAUAUGAAAUAAUACAUUCAUUCAUUAACUACUGCAAGGGAGACAUCUUAUACCCUUGGGUGUAAGACGAGCACCGGCAAAAACAUGGGAAAAGCCUGCCUAGCAUGUAAGAAAAAAUAUACCGACAUAUAUUCACUCAAUAUCGGUAUAUAACUUUACUCAUAAGGGAAGUCCGUUUUAAGAAAAUGCGUUACACUUGACUAACCUAUGUUAUCAUUCUGAAAAAGCUUUGGCAUUAAAUUUUAAUCAUCAUUUAAGGAUAUAUUCUGAGACUAUAUCUAGCGUUUUCAAAAAGAUAUGUUAUUUUUUUUUUUUUUUUUGCUAUUUACCUUCUCUUGUAUAGUUGUUUUGUUAUCUUCAUGCAAUUAUCACAAUACUUAUUCUGGCAUGUCACAAGAAGAUGCAAAAGUUUAAUUCCUCAAGGUCAUCUAUCAAUGGCCAACGUUCUGUUCUUUAUUCUUUGAGAUCAAGGUAGGUCAUAUGUACUGUCUUCAUUAAGAACUUAAGUAUAAUUCAGUGGAAGUGAAUAUGAUGAUUAAGGUUUUAUCAUAUGAAGAUGUAAAAUGGACUUCAAGAUUACUGAAAUGCACUAUAUAGUAUGCACAUCAGAAGAGUUUUCAUCGAAAGUAAGUAGACUUGCAAGAAAAUUACAUCGUAUGUAACUUCUCAGGAAUACAUGUAGUCCAAAUAAUUCAGUUAAAUAUACAUUUAUCGCAAAAUUCAACGUUUGCAAGAUCCAUGCAAAGAAAUAUACAUAUAUUUGAAUCCAAAUAUAAACUUUUUAAAUUUCCCAUAGCUAUUUCUGUGCCUGCUCCCGCCAGAUUAAAACCUGAAAGAGACUACGUGAUGUCAGUUUCACUUUCAUUUUCUAGCAAACUACUGAGCCCAACUACCCAGAACAAAUAACAGUGGCUAUCAACAAGAAUGGUGCCAAUCUCAUUCAUCCGCAUACAAAGGAUAUAUUGGCGACACAUCUAUUCACCAAAAUAACAAAGUGGAGUAGCGGAAACACGUACUUCCAUAUGACGAUAGGAAACUACAAACUCCUCUGUGAAACUUCUUUGAUAUGUGUCAUUGAACUAUUCGUGUUA